RNAcentral lists this ribosomal RNA (927 nucleotides) under Triticum aestivum (bread wheat). RNAcentral describes it as "partial small subunit ribosomal RNA". Lineage: Eukaryota; Viridiplantae; Streptophyta; Magnoliopsida; Poales; Poaceae. The record is from RNAcentral.
AUGGACUCCCGGGGCUUCGAUUCCACGGGCCGCGAGUUUUCCAGCGCCACGGAGAUGUGGGCGCAAGAGAUCGGCGCCACCGCCUCCGCCUCCGCCUCGGCCUCCGAAGUCCCUCCGGGCGCCGCCGCCGCCGCCGCCGCUCCAAGCAAUGGGGACGCCGGCGAGGAAGCGGGCGGGGAAGGGAAGCGCGAGGAGUGGUACUCCAAAGGGAUCGCCUACUGGCAGGGCGUGGAGGCGUCGACCGAGGGCGUCCUGGGAGGCUAUGGGUGCGUCAACGACGCCGACGUCAAGGGCAGCGCCGCCUUCCUCCGCCCCCUCCUCGCGGAGCGAUUCGGCGCCGCGAAGCGCCAUCUCGUCGCGCUUGAUUGUGGCUCGGGCAUCGGGCGGGUUACGAAGAAUUUUCUUAUCAAGCAUUUCAAUGAGGUUGAUCUCGUUGAGCCAGUAGCCCAUUUUCUAGAAGCGGCACGGGAAAAUCUUAGUAGUUGUAUGGAUGUAGGACAUGAUACCCACAAGGCUGCGAACUUUUAUUGUAUACCUCUUCAGGACUUCACUCCCGAGGAAGGAAGAUAUGAUGUGAUAUGGAUCCAGUGGUGCAUAGGGCAACUUACUGAUGAUGAUUUUAUUUCAUUUUUUAACCGUGCAAAGGUUGGGCUCAAACCGGAUGGUUUUUUUGUUCUGAAAGAGAACAUUGCGAAAAAUGGAUUUGUUUUAGACAAGGAGGAUAACAGUGUCACCAGGUCUGAUGCAUAUUUCAGGGAGCUAUUUAACAAGUGUGGGUUGUAUAUCCACAGCAUCAAGAACCAAAAGGAGCUGCCUGAGGAAUUAUUUGCUGUCAGAAUGUACGCUUUGGUGACCAGCCAGCCAAAGGUGACAAAAAAUGGCAAGAGAGGGCGACCUAAAAAUUCACCCCGUAUAAUCCACUCUUGA